This 253-nucleotide ribosomal RNA is filed under the name uncultured bacterium. Its description in RNAcentral is "partial 16S ribosomal RNA". It matches the Rfam family "Bacterial small subunit ribosomal RNA", at positions 524 to 776 of the family's 1533-position model. The record is from RNAcentral.
UACGUAGGGUGCGAGCGUUAAUCGGAAUUACUGGGCGUAAAGCGUGCGCAGGCGGUUCGUUGUGUCGGCGGUGAAAGCCCCGGGCUCAACCUGGGAAUUGCAUUCGAGACUGCAUAGCUAGGGUGCGGAAGAGGGAAGCGGAAUUUCCGGUGUAGCGGUGAAAUGCGUAGAUAUCGGAAGGAACAUCAGUGGCGAAAGCGACUUCCUGGACCAAUACUGACGCUCAUGUGCGAAAGCGUGGGGAGCAAACAGG